UGAAAAAGUGGAGGCGAUGACUCGAGGUCUGUAAACUGGUCGCUUGCUCGAAAUUCUGGGCAAAGACCUCGACGAGCCAAUGGCGAAACCGUCCACUUGACA
Molecule: non-coding RNA, 102 nt
Filed under: Anaerolinea thermophila
Lineage: Bacteria; Bacillati; Chloroflexota; Anaerolineae; Anaerolineales; Anaerolineaceae
Also listed under: 1 other name
Description: c-di-GMP sequence
Rfam family: c-di-GMP-II-GAG riboswitch aptamer
Source: RNAcentral